GAUGAACGCUGGCGGCGUGCCUAAUACAUGCAAGUCGAGCGAACAGACGAUGAUCUUGCUCCGCGGACGUGAGCGGCGGACGUGUGAGUAACGCGUGGAUAACCUCCCUAUAAUACUGGUAUAACUUCGGGAAACCGGCGCUAAUCCCGUAGAAGCUAUUGAACCGCAUUGUGCAAUGGUGAAAGUCGGCUUUUCGGUCAGUUAUAGAUGGUUCCCCGCGGCUUGAGCUAGUUGGGAAGGUAACGGCUUUCCACGGAAACGAGGCGUAGCCGAACUGCGAGAGUGAUAGGCCACAUGGGAACGGAGCCACGGUCCAGACUCCUAAGGGAGGCAGCAGUAGGGAAUCUUAGGCAAUGGGCGAAAGCUUGACGGAGCAACGCCGCGUGAGUGAUGACGGUGUUCGGAUCGUAAAACUCUGUUAUUAGGGAAAAACAAAUGUGUAAGUAACUAUGCACGUCUUGACGGUAACUAAUAAGAAAGCAACGGCUAACUACGUG
Molecule: ribosomal RNA, 497 nt
Filed under: uncultured bacterium
Lineage: Bacteria
Description: partial 16S ribosomal RNA
Rfam family: Bacterial small subunit ribosomal RNA
Source: RNAcentral